This is a long non-coding RNA of Magnolia sinica, 652 nucleotides long. RefSeq lists it as uncharacterized. The transcript has 3 exons. Lineage: Eukaryota; Viridiplantae; Streptophyta; Magnoliopsida; Magnoliales; Magnoliaceae. The record is from RefSeq and is a predicted model, not a curated record.
AAACGAAAUUUCCAACUCAAGGAAUUCAAAGAAACGCGGUGGUAUUAAGCAUGGAAAUAAGCGCAUGUGCCAAGAAAAGUAGCUAGCGUUCCUCUGCUCUUCCAUAUCAUUUCCUUCAGCUCUCAAUCUUCCUGAAGGGCGCUAGACAAGGCGACUGAGAAAUGACUACCUGUAAGGUGUUUGUGUUCAUGGUGACCCUUUUAGUUGUGGCCAUGCUGCUGUUCUCAUCUGUGGUGACUGCCGCAAAUCCAGGGGAAGCCAUAUCAUCUGUAAUCUUUUCAGGAAGGAGGAUUCUUAGUGCAGGUGAUAACGGAUCGGGCGGUGGGUCAGUGAAGUCUCCAAUAGUACCAAUUCGUCCGUAAAGGCUCCAAAAGUGCCAGUUUGAUGCUGAUAAUGUGUUUCUUGAAAAGUAAAUGAAUUUAUUAACUGUUAUAUGUACAUAUCAUUAUUAGCAAUGUUUAAAAUCCUCAAAUAGAUCUACCACUUAUAACAGUCCAAGGCGAUAAAAUCUAUAUAUAUAGUUAACCAACCCUGGUUAUAUGUUUAACGUUUCCCUUUUAUUUUUAAAAUUUAGCAAUUGAGUAGAAAUAAAUAUAACAGUUAUUGAUGGAGGUUUCUGAAGGUGGGGGUUCAACUCUCACUUCUUCCUAUU